CAAGGCCUGUCAGGGGGAGGGCUCCACUUCUCAGCCCAUCUGCAGUAGGUCCACAUUCGGGCACUGGCUCCUUCUUAGUCCCAUGGAAGCACAGAUCAACAUCAUUGCCCUUGCAAACUUCUCUCAGCUUAGGAGAGUCUACUCGCUCUUUGCACAUUGUUGACAUGAAAUGAAUAUUAAACACCAAACCUCAUAGAGGCCAGCCCUGCUGGGCGAGCAAUGAA
Molecule: long non-coding RNA, 224 nt
Filed under: Homo sapiens (human)
Lineage: Eukaryota; Metazoa; Chordata; Mammalia; Primates; Hominidae
Description: non-protein coding lnc-ERAL1-8:5
Source: RNAcentral